Molecule: long non-coding RNA, 974 nt
Organism: Callithrix jacchus (white-tufted-ear marmoset)
Lineage: Eukaryota; Metazoa; Chordata; Mammalia; Primates; Cebidae
Source: RefSeq, a predicted model, not a curated record
UGUUCUCAGCACACACGGGGCUGCAGGGCUGCUCUCCUUCCAAGCUCCUCCCAGAAACAGACAGGUGGGACAGAAGAAAUCCUCAGUUGUUGGAAGCUGACUGCUAAAAGCUGGCUAGAGAGAGCCAGAGCACUCAGAACUUGGGGGAGAGUUUAAACAUUAUGCUGGAGAAAGACUGUGGGUAUCCUCACUUGACUAGAAGAAGGAUCACUUUUUUCUUGGACCCAGGAGUCUGCUGAGGUGUUCAUAGCUUCCUACCCUGUCAGAUAGUAAAAGUGGUGUGAUGAUGACCAAGUUGGAUGGUUAACGGAAGAUCCUCAACACCAGAAUGACCUUCUGCCUGAAAAGUUCAUCCGCAGAGUCAAUACCAUUUCCUGUCAUCACUUUGCAUCCCUGAUCAGCAUGCUAAGCAAAGAGCAGCUGUGACUCAGCCUGGUGCGCUGAAGAGAUAGUUCCUGGUUCUUUUAAAGGGCACCUGUGUCCAUUUUUCUGCUGUGGAUAUCCAUCUUCCUUUAACAUUCCUAAAUUAAAAUUGAAGGCUUUAGGAAGAGUUAUUACUGUUAUUACUAUAAAGUGACAUUAAGAAAUAAUAGCCUUUAAAAUAUAUGAACACAUUCUUGACAAGUGUUACUGGGAUGGGAAAACAAAGCAAACAAAAAGAUGUGAACAGAAGGGAUUCUGUAGGAUUUGUAGUUGAUCAUUCAUUCUCUUUCUCUUUUAGACCCUUUCUUUCUCCUCUUUCUUUUUUUUCACUUCUUUCCCUACUCUUCCCUUCCCUCCCCUCUGCUCCCAUCUCCUUUACUCUCCUCUCCAUACUUGUUACUGAAAAUGUGUUACUUAAUGAUUUUGCAAUGUCAGCAUAUGCUCUGGCAACCGCUCAAAUACUUGAAAGGAUUAAUAUGAAGGAACAGGCUGGCAAUUUGCUGAAUUCAUUUAAAAGGUAAAAAAUGCUAUGGAAUAAACAGUUUUAAAAA